UACAGAGGGGGCAAGCGUUAUUCGGAAUUAUUGGGCGUAAAGGGCGCGUAGGCGGCCACGCACGUCCGUUGUGAAAUCGCCCGGCUCAACUGGGCGGGGUCAGCGGAUACGGUGUGGCUCGAGCAAGCUAGGGGGCAAUGGAAUUCCCGGUGUAGUGGUGGGAAUGCGUAGAUAUCGGGAGGAACACCAGUGGCGAAGGCGGUUGCCUGGAGCUUUGCUGACGCUGAGGCGCGAAAGCGUGGGGGAGCGAUCCGG
Molecule: ribosomal RNA, 255 nt
Filed under: uncultured bacterium
Lineage: Bacteria
Description: partial 16S ribosomal RNA
Rfam family: Bacterial small subunit ribosomal RNA
Source: RNAcentral